Long non-coding RNA from Polypterus senegalus (gray bichir), 1734 nucleotides. RefSeq lists it as uncharacterized. The transcript has 4 exons. Lineage: Eukaryota; Metazoa; Chordata; Cladistia; Polypteriformes; Polypteridae. The record is from RefSeq and is a predicted model, not a curated record.
ACUGCCAUCACUGGGGAGGCGGUUGACAUUCCCCGCUCUUUGAACGCUUCUUAAAGAAAGAGGACAUUUCAUUUGAAUGGGCAACUUCUGAAGGGCUCAUCAUUCAUACAUGUAUCAAUGGAGAGGACCAUCUGGAAAAUCGGGACCCCCAGCUUCAUAUCGGGACUGGCACAUGGCAACUUUUCCCAGAGGCUGUCUGAUGUGUCAGUCAGUGAUGUGCUGGAGUUUGUACGUCGUUACGGCAGAGCCGAGGGGCACAGCUGACGUCUGUCUGAGAACUGUCUUCAGAUCGCAGGAUGGAACAGAACACGUGAACUUAAGUCACAUUAUUAAGAAGGAUAGACAGGAUAGAAAAGGAGGCACUUCAUUCUUCGUUCCUUUAACAUGAAUAGUGACAUCCAUCCCAUAUUCAAGUGUUUGAUGGCCAGAGUGGUUUGAGGGGCUGGUAACAUCACUUCCAGAGAUGCCCACCGAAUCAACAGACUAAUUAAAAGGGCAGACUUGGUUAUAGGAUGCACUUUGGACCCCCUGGAGGUCGUAGUGAAGAAGAGGAUGAAAGCAAAUCUGAGUGUCAUUAUGAACAAUGCUACACAUCCUCUCUGUGACACACACACAGAGAGGACUUUCAGGCAGUGAAUCAUUCAGCAGAAGUUUGUCAAACGCGACUGUUAUACCAACAUUAACAUAGGGAAGAUGAGAGAAGGCAUUGCAGGACAGCGCCAACCCCUGUUUUGGCAGGUAAUUACCAUCACUAGAGUCCUUAUAUAUUAUGCGCAUGCCCAUGACAUUAUCUAUUAUAUAGUGCCUUUCACAUGGAGUUACAGGGUGUUGGAUAGAUAACCUUGUUCUUGGAAUGAAGAAAGACCUGAUUUGAAAAAAGGAACUGUGAUAUUUUACAUAUGUGUUUGCAUAAUUCAUUAAAAGUAAAGUUGAAGGUUGAAGAACUGAAGUACCAUGUCUAUGACCUUCUGUUCUUUUCAGUGUGUGAAGAACUGGGCUCAGUCAGCUCUUCACCAUCCCCAGAAACAUGAUGUGACACAAUUUUAAAAUAUGAAUCUUAUGAUUAAAGAAAGUCUCUGAUAGUCCAUCUUGUAGGGUGGAUGAGUGAUGAUGUGAAAGUGUGACUGGGCUCGCCGACAGACUCUGUUUAGCUCAGUGCAUAAUGAGCUGGCGCGUGUUGGUUUAUGAUAUUUUUUUUUUAAUUGCUCUGUUCUAAGGUUAUAUAUAUGGUUAUUGCACUUGAAUGUCUGGGCAUGUACUGAAAUGCACCACUAGAGGGCAGCGAGUGCAGACAGAAUAUGCAAAGUUACAUUUGUCCGCUGCAGUGCCAAGAUCAGCCGGACAGAUUGAGGGUUUUUUUUUUUUGUUUAAAUAAUAUUUUUACUUUUUUUAAGUGUCUGUGAAGUUUUAACUUGUCCUUGGGGUCAAAUCAAAUGUCUGUCUGUCUAACUGAAGUUCCACUUUUGAGUACUGAAAAGAGAAGCAGAAUAGCUUAGGGUUAGUAACAAAUCAUAACUAUCAUAUUACUUAUGUUAAAUCAUAACUAUCAUAUUAUGUUUUAGGUGCUGAUGACUAACACCAGAGAUGCAGUCUGUUCAGUUAUUCAGCGGCUCUAGUCAGGGUGUGCUGAACUGAAGAAGUGAGUGUUCAGUUGGCAGUUGAAAGCUGAGACUGAAAGGACGCCUCUUCUAGUAGCAGGCAGACCAGUCCACAGUUUAGGGCCCUGUAACUAAA